UGCCGGUGACAAACCGGAGGAAGUGGGGAUGACGUCAAGUCCUCAUGGCCCUUAUGGGUAGGGCUUCACACGUCAUACAAUGGCUGGUACAAAGGGUUGCCAACCGCGAGGGGAGCUAAUCCCACAAAGCCAGUCGUAGUCCGGAUCGUAGUCUGCAACUCGACUACGUGAAGUCGGAAUCGCUAGUAAUCGUGGAUCAGAAUGUCACGGUGAAUACGUUCCCGGGUCUU
This 230-nucleotide ribosomal RNA is filed under the name uncultured Rhodoferax sp. Its description in RNAcentral is "partial 16S ribosomal RNA". It matches the Rfam family "Bacterial small subunit ribosomal RNA", at positions 1150 to 1382 of the family's 1533-position model. Lineage: Bacteria; Pseudomonadati; Pseudomonadota; Betaproteobacteria; Burkholderiales; Comamonadaceae. The record is from RNAcentral.